Gastrolobium bilobum is the source of this 832-nucleotide long non-coding RNA. RefSeq lists it as uncharacterized. The transcript has 5 exons. The record is from RefSeq and is a predicted model, not a curated record. Lineage: Eukaryota; Viridiplantae; Streptophyta; Magnoliopsida; Fabales; Fabaceae.
GAUAUGGAACACUCUCUUCCCAUGACAUUGGCUUUGAUGGCCUGAAUGGGGCACAUGGGCUGAAGAUAUGGAACACUUGCAGGGUUGAAAGUGGGAUUUUCAUGGUUCUUAAGGUCUGCUGUAAAUGAUGAGGAUGAGAUGAGUGGCCUUCCAAAUAUUCAAAAAAAUUCAUCAAGGUUGUCAACUAUUGGCCAGAAAAGGGAAUAUCUGGAUUUAUAGUAUAUAAAUUUCGACUUAGGAGACUUGAAGGGCAGUCUACAUUAACCACUAAUCAGGGUGAUUUUGCAAUCCAAGCAGUGGGGCUUUAAAGGAUCUUAGCUUAUUUUGUUGUGAUGACAAGUUUAUUUCACUCAUGGUCGCAUACCUCAGUCACCUGCAGAAAUACGAGGGUUGGUAUGCGAGGAUAUCACUGGAGGUCUGGAACAUCCACCCAUUCCUGCUACGAAUUUGGUUGAUGACCCCCCUGUUCCACCCACAGGCAAGUUGAAUUAUGGGUUUACAAUUUGAAUCUCCUGUUUUAUUGGUGAGAGUGUAUCCUCUCGUGUAAAUUUCACAUGAUAGUCAUUUGAGGAGGAUAUCUUGACACCAGAAGAUCAGUCACUGCUUUUUUCAUUUUUCUUAGAGAUUCCUUAAUAUCGUGGAAGGUUAAAAAGCAAACAACAGUCUCUAGAAGCUUCGUUGAAGACGAGUACAGGGCAAUGGCAACCACUGAUACUAAAUUAAGUUGAAUAUCUCAAUUAUUAACUGAUCUUGGCUUUGUUGAUUUCUCUUGUGCUCUAUUUUUUGUGACAAUCAGGAUGCUAUUCAUAUUGCCUCAAAUCCCACCUUCCAU